GACGAACGCUGGCGGCGUGCUUAACACAUGCAAGUCGAACGGAAAGGCCCUGCUUUUGUGGGGUGCUCGAGUGGCGAACGGGUGAGUAACACGUGAGUAACCUGCCCUUGACUUUGGGAUAACUUCAGGAAACUGGGGCUAAUACCGGAUAGGAGCUCCUGCUGCAUGGUGGGGGUUGGAAAGUUUCGGCGGUUGGGGAUGGACUCGCGGCUUAUCAGCUUGUUGGUGGGGUAGUGGCUUACCAAGGCUUUGACGGGUAGCCGGCCUGAGAGGGUGACCGGCCACAUUGGGACUGAGACACGGCCCAGACUCCUACGGGAGGCAGCAGUGGGGAAUAUUGCACAAUGGGCGGAAGCCUGAUGCAGCAACGCCGCGUGCGGGAUGACGGCCUUCGGGUUGUAAACCGCCUUCGCCUGUGACGAAGCGUGAGUGACGGUAAUGGGUAAAGAAGCACCGGCUAACUACGUG
This 468-nucleotide ribosomal RNA is filed under the name uncultured bacterium. RNAcentral describes it as "partial 16S ribosomal RNA". It matches the Rfam family "Bacterial small subunit ribosomal RNA", at positions 28 to 507 of the family's 1533-position model. The record is from RNAcentral.